Molecule: ribosomal RNA, 468 nt
Filed under: uncultured bacterium
Lineage: Bacteria
Description: partial 16S ribosomal RNA
Rfam family: Bacterial small subunit ribosomal RNA
Source: RNAcentral
GACGAACGCUGGCGGCGUGCUUAACACAUGCAGGUCGAACGGAAAGGCCCUGCUUUUGUGGGGUGCUCGAGUGGCGAACGGGUGAGUAACACGUGAGUAACCUGCCCUUGACUUUGGGAUAACUUCAGGAAACUGGGGCUAAUACCGGAUAGGAGCUCCUGCUGCAUGGUGGGGGUUGGAAAGUUUCGGCGGUUGGGGAUGGACUCGCGGCUUAUCAGCUUGUUGGUGGGGUAGUGGCUUACCAAGGCUUUGACGGGUAGCCGGCCUGAGAGGGUGACCGGCCACAUUGGGACUGAGAUACGGCCCAGACUCCUACGGGAGGCAGCAGUGGGGAAUAUUGCACAAUGGGCGGAAGCCUGAGGCAGCAACGCCGCGUGCGGGAUGACGGCCUUCGGGUUGUAAACCGCUUUCGCCUGUGACGAAGCGUGAGUAACGGUAAUGGGUAAAGAAGCACCGGCUAACUACGUG